AAAGAAGCGAGAAAAGAGCGCAUGGUGGAUGCCUAGGCUCUCAGAGGCGAAGAAGGACGUGAUAAGCUGCGAAAAGCUGUGGUGAGGUGCAAAUAACCUUUGAUCCGCAGAUCUCCGAAUGGGUCAACCCAUCCCGAUUUAUCGGGAUAUUCCUGAUAAAGGAAAGCUAACCCAGCGAACUGAAACAUCUAAGUAGCUGGAGGAAGAGAAAACAAUAGUGAUUUCCCAAGUAGUGGCGAGCGAACGGGAAACAGCCCAAACCAUUUAUGUUUCGGCAUAGAUGGGGUUGAAGGACUGCAACAAAGAGAUAUAACUUAAGUAGAACGUUUUGGAAAGAACGACCGCAGAGUGUGAAAGUCACGUACACGUUCAGUUAUAUUUUUUAGCAGUAUCCUGAGUAUGUCGGGACACGAGGAACCCUGACAGAAUUCGCCGGGACCAUCCGGUAAGGCUAAAUACUACUGAGAGACCGAUAGUGAACCAGUACUGUGAAGGAAAGGUGAAAAGCACUUCGAACAGAAGAGUGAAAUAGAACCUGAAACCGUGCGCUUACAAGCGGUCGGAGUCCCGAUUUAUCGGGAUGACGGCGUGCCUUUUGCAUAAUGAGCCUACGAGUUGUCGAUAUUAGCAAGGUUAAGGAAUUAAGUUCUGCAACCGAAGCGAAAGCGAGUCUGAAUAGGGCGUUAUAGUUGAUGUCGGCAGACGCGAAACCAGCGUGAUCUAUCCUUGAUCAGGUUGAAGUGACGGUAAUACGUCAUGGAGGACCGCACCAGGAAGCGUUGAAAAGCUUUUGGAUGAAUUGAGGAUAGGGGUGAAAGGCCAAUCAAACCUGGAAAUAUCUCGUACUCCCCGAAAUGCAUUUAGGUGCAGCCAUAUUCGAGUGUAAUUGAGGUAGAGCUACUGAUAAGGCUAGGGGGCUUCACCGCCUACCAACCCUUGACAAACUCCGAAUGCUAUUACAUGUUGAAUAUGAGUGAGGCUAUGGGUGCUAAGGUCCAUAGCCUAAAGGGCAACAACCCGGACCAUCAGCUAAGGUCCCCAAGUAUAGUCUAAGUUGAACAAACGCGGUCUGAUAGCUAAGACAGCUAGGAUGUUGGCUUGGAAGCAGCCAUUCAUUUAACGAGUGCGUAACAGCUCACUAGUCGAGCCGUCGGGCAUGGAUGAUAAUCGGGCAUAAGACUAUCACCGAAGCUAUGGGAUUUACAAUUAAUUGUAGAUCGGUAGGGGAGCAUUCCAAACGUCGCAGAAGCUAAGCUGUAAGGCUUAGUGGAGAUUUUGGAAAAGCAAAUGUAGGCAUAAGUAACGAUAAAUACAGCGAGAAACUGUAUCGCCGCAAGACUAAGGAUUCCUGAUCAACGCUAAUCGGAUCAGGGUUAGUCGGGACCUAAGGAGCAGCCGAAGGGCGUAUCCGAUGGUAAACUGGUUAAUAUUCCAGUACUGUAUAUAAUUUCGAUGGGGUCACGUAGGAGUGACAGGUCCGCGUACUGACGGAAUAGUACGUUUAAGGGUGUAGGUAUAUAAGAUGUUAAUAGCAUAUUGUCACUGAACCUGAGAGUACCACAACGCUUCGGCAGCGUGGAUAGCGACCGUAACCAUACUACCGAGAAAAACCUCUAAGGGAAGGUUAUAUACACCCGUACCGUAAACCGACACAGGUAGUCGAGGAGAGUAUCCUCAGGCGCUCGGGAGAUUCAUGGCUAAGGAACUAGGCAAAAUAGACCUGUAACUUCGGGAUAAAGGUCUCCCGACAUUAGAUUGUCGGGACGCAGUGAAAAGACCCAAACGACUGUUUACCAAAAACACAGGGCUCUGCAAAAUCGAAAGAUUAAGUAUAGGGCCUGACACCUGCCCGGUGCCGGAAGGUUAAGAGGAGAUGUCAUCUUCGGAGAAGCAUUGAAUUGAAGCCCCGGUAAACGGCGGCCGUAACUAUAACGGUCCUAAGGUAGCGAAAUUCCUUGUCGGGUAAGUUCCGACCUGCACGAAUGGUGUAACGAUUUGGGUACUGUCUCAGCCAUGAGCCCGGUGAAAUUGAAGUAUCGGUGAAGAUGCCGGUUACCCGCAACGGGACGGAAAGACCCCGUGAACCUUUACUACAACUUAUCAUUGGUUUUGGCUAAGCGAUGUGUAGGAUAGGUCGGAGACAAUGAAGCAGCUUCGCCAGGAGUUGUGGAGUCAACCUUGAAAUACGACCCUUUGCUUAGUUGGAAUCUAAUCCGCCAGCUGGCGGAGACAUUGAUAGGCGGGUAGUUUGACUGGGGUGGUCGCCUCCAAAAGCGUAACGGAGGCUUUCAAAGGUUCCCUCAGCAUGAUUGGUAACCAUGCGAAGCGUGCAAUGGCAUAAGGGAGCUUGACUGCGAGACUGACAAGUCGACCAGGAACGAAAGUUGGACAUAGUGAUCCGGCGGUAGAAAAUGGAUUUGCCGUCGCUCAAAGGAUAAAAGGUACUCCGGGGAUAACAGGCUUAUCGCCCCCAAGAGCUCAUAUCGACGGGGCGGUUUGGCACCUCGAUGUCGGCUCGUCACAUCCUGGGGCUGGAGAAGGUCCCAAGGGUUGGGCUGUUCGCCCAUUAAAGUGGCACGCGAGCUGGGUUCAGAACGUCGUGAGACAGUUCGGUCCCUAUCUGUUGUGGGCGUAGGAAACUUGCGAGGGCCUGACACUAGUACGAGAGGACCGUGUUGGACGGACCACUGGUUUACCUGUUGUGGCGCCAGCUGCAUCGCAGGGUAGCUAAGUUCGGAAGAGAUAAGUGCUGAAAGCAUCUAAGCACGAAGCUCGCCUCAAGAUAAGGUUUCCAUUGAGGGUCGUUGGAGACUACGACGUUGAUAGGCUGCAGGUGUAAAGGCGGUAACGUCAAAGCCGAGCAGUACUAAUUACCCGAGAGCUUCUUUAA
Ribosomal RNA from Salinivirga cyanobacteriivorans, 2890 nucleotides. It matches the Rfam family "Bacterial large subunit ribosomal RNA". The record is from Rfam. Lineage: Bacteria; Pseudomonadati; Bacteroidota; Bacteroidia; Bacteroidales; Salinivirgaceae.